This 356-nucleotide long non-coding RNA is filed under the name Capsicum annuum. Its description in RNAcentral is "long non-coding RNA (CANN_LNC012987)". The record is from RNAcentral. Lineage: Eukaryota; Viridiplantae; Streptophyta; Magnoliopsida; Solanales; Solanaceae.
UGCUUCAUCGAUUCUCCUUCAAGUUGGGAAGAACUCACCUCCUCCGAUACAAACAGUGGAGUACUCGGGACCAUCCCUUAGCUACUAUAUCAACAAGCUUAAGCCCGCGGAAAUAGUCCAAGCUUCAGUAACCGAGGCACCAACUGCACCUGAAGUUGAAGAUGUUCAAGCUUCAGUAGCACCAGGAACCGAAGCACCAAAUGCACCAGAAGUUGAAAGCUCUGCUCCCCAAGUUGAGGUCCAAUCCGAAGCCCCUCAGGACACUUCAAGUCCUAACAUCUCUUAGGACAAAUCGUUUUGUUUACUUGUAUAUUUUAUUUGUAGAUGACCUAGUACACAUAUUUCAGUAAGUUUUU